GGGUUGUGAGGUUAAGCGACUAAGCGUACACGGUGGAUGCCCUGGCAGUCAGAGGCGAUGAAGGGCGUGCUAAUCUGCGAUAAGCGCCGGUAAGGUGAUAUGAACCGUUAUAACCGGCGAUACCCGAAUGGGGAAACCCAGUGUGAUUCGUCACACUAUCAUUAACUGAAUCCAUAGGUUAAUGAGGCGAACCGGGGGAACUGAAACAUCUAAGUACCCCGAGGAAAAGAAAUCAACCGAGAUUCCCCCAGUAGCGGCGAGCGAACGGGGAGGAGCCCAGAGCCUGAAUCAGCAUGUGUGUUAGUGGAAGCGUCUGGAAAGGCGCGCGAUACAGGGUGACAGCCCCGUACACAAAAGCGCAUGUGCUGUGAGCUCGAUGAGUAGGGCGGGACACGUGGUAUCCUGUCUGAAUAUGGGGGGACCAUCCUCCAAGGCUAAAUACUCCUGACUGACCGAUAGUGAACCAGUACCGUGAGGGAAAGGCGAAAAGAACCCCGGCGAGGGGAGUGAAAAAGAACCUGAAACCGUGUACGUACAAGCAGUGGGAGCCCCACCACUAAGCCAGUGGUGAACUCCACAUCCGCAUCCUUUGCUGAGGAUACGGUUAACGGAGCGAAAGCGACGUUCAACCGCAAAACAAGCAGAGGGGGCUUAGUGGUGGGGUGACUGCGUACCUUUUGUAUAAUGGGUCAGCGACUUAUAUUCUGUAGCAAGGUUAACCGUAUAGGGGAGCCGGAGGGAAACCGAGUCUUAAUUGGGCGUUAAGUUGCAGGGUAUAGACCCGAAACCCGGUGAUCUAGCCAUGGGCAGGUUGAAGGUUGGGUAACACUAACUGGAGGACCGAACCGACUAAUGUUGAAAAAUUAGCGGAUGACCUGUGGCUGGGGGUGAAAGGCCAAUCAAACCGGGAGAUAGCUGGUUCUCCCCGAAAGCUAUUUAGGUAGCGCCUCGUGAAUUCAUCUCCGGGGGUAGAGCACUGUUUCGGCUAGGGGGCCAUCCCGGCUUACCAACCCGAUGCAAACUGCGAAUACCGGAGAAUGUUAUCACGGGAGACACACGGCGGGUGCUAACGUCCGUCGUGAAGAGGGAAACAACCCAGACCGCCAGCUAAGGUCCCAAAGUCAUGGUUAAGUGGGAAACGAUGUGGGAAGGCCCAGACAGCCAGGAUGUUGGCUUAGAAGCAGCCAUCAUUUAAAGAAAGCGUAAUAGCUCACUGGUCGAGUCGGCCUGCGCGGAAGAUGUAACGGGGCUAAACCAUGCACCGAAGCUGCGGCAGCGAACGUAUCACCCAAGACAACUUUACGGAGUUGACGAUUGACGGAGCGAAGCGACGUCAAAGCGUUCAUUAAAGUCGAGUUGGCUUAGGGAUACGUUCGUUGGGUAGGGGAGCGUUCUGUAAGCCUGUGAAGGUGUGUCGUGAGGCAUGCUGGAGGUAUCAGAAGUGCGAAUGCUGACAUAAGUAACGAUAAAGCGGGUGAAAAGCCCGCUCGCCGGAAGACCAAGGGUUCCUGUCCAACGUUAAUCGGGGCAGGGUGAGUCGACCCCUAAGGCGAGGCCGAAAGGCGUAGUCGAUGGGAAACGGGUUAAUAUUCCCGUACUUGGUGUUACUGCGAAGGGGGGACGGAGAAGGCUAUGUUGGCCGGGCGACGGUUGUCCCGGUUUAAGCGUGUAGGUGUGUGUUCCAGGUAAAUCCGGUUCACUUUAACACUGAGGCGUGACGACGAGGCACUACGGUGCUGAAGCAACAAAUGCCCUGCUUCCAGGAAAAGCCUCUAAGCAUCAGGUAACAC
RNAcentral lists this ribosomal RNA (1790 nucleotides) under Salmonella enterica subsp. enterica serovar Typhimurium. RNAcentral describes it as "partial 23S ribosomal RNA". It matches the Rfam family "Bacterial large subunit ribosomal RNA", at positions 1 to 1637 of the family's 2925-position model. The record is from RNAcentral. Lineage: Bacteria; Pseudomonadati; Pseudomonadota; Gammaproteobacteria; Enterobacterales; Enterobacteriaceae.